GGAGAUGUAAUUCAGUGGUAGAGUGCUUGCCUUCCAGGCUUACAAUCCUGGAUUCAAUCCCCAGUAUUGUCA
Molecule: transfer RNA, 72 nt
Filed under: Fukomys damarensis (Damara mole-rat)
Lineage: Eukaryota; Metazoa; Chordata; Mammalia; Rodentia; Bathyergidae
Rfam family: tRNA
About the family: Transfer RNA (tRNA) molecules are approximately 80 nucleotides in length. Their secondary structure includes four short double-helical elements and three loops (D, anti-codon, and T loops).
Source: Rfam by way of RNAcentral